RNAcentral lists this ribosomal RNA (267 nucleotides) under uncultured bacterium. RNAcentral's name for it is "partial 16S ribosomal RNA". It matches the Rfam family "Bacterial small subunit ribosomal RNA", at positions 524 to 794 of the family's 1533-position model. The record is from RNAcentral.
UACAGAGGGUGCAAGCGUUAAUCGGAAUUACUAGGCGUAAAGCGUGCGUAGACGGUAGCGUAAGUCGGGUGUGAAAGCCCCGGGCUCAACCUGGGAAUUGCAUUCGAGACUGCUCUGCUAGGGUGCGGAAGAGGGAAGCGGAAUUUCCGGUGUAGCGGUGAAAUGCGUAGAUAUCGGAAGGAACACCAGUGGCGAAAGCGGCUUCCUGGUCCAGCACCGACGUCAGGCACGAAAGCGUGGGGAGCAAACAGGAUAGAAACCCGUAGU